CCUACGGGAGGCAGCAGUGAGGAAUAUUGGUCAAUGGACGAGAGUCUGAACCAGCCAAGUAGCGUGAAGGAUGACUGCCCUAUGGGUUGUAAACUUCUUUUAUAUGGGAAUAAAAUGUUCCACGUGUGGUGUUUUGUAUGUACCCUAUGAAUAAGGAUCGGCUAACUCCGUGCCAGCAGCCGCGGUAAUACGGAGGAUCCGAGCGUUAUCCGGAUUUAUGGGGUUUAAAGGGAGCGUAGGUGGAUUGUUAAGUCAGUUGUGAAAGUUUGCGGCUCAACCGGAAAAGUGCAGUUGAAACUGGCAGUCUGGAGUACAGUAGAGGUGGGCGGAAUUCGUGGUGUAGCGGUGAAAUGCUUAGAUAUCACGAAGAACUCCGAUUGCGAAGGCAGCGCACUGGACUGCAACUGACACUGAGGCUCGAAAGUGUGGGUAUCAAACAGGAUUAGAUACCCGGGUAGUC
RNAcentral lists this ribosomal RNA (460 nucleotides) under uncultured bacterium. Its description in RNAcentral is "partial 16S ribosomal RNA". It matches the Rfam family "Bacterial small subunit ribosomal RNA", at positions 338 to 795 of the family's 1533-position model. The record is from RNAcentral.